Molecule: ribosomal RNA, 426 nt
Filed under: uncultured Desulfovibrionaceae bacterium
Lineage: Bacteria; Pseudomonadati; Thermodesulfobacteriota; Desulfovibrionia; Desulfovibrionales; Desulfovibrionaceae
Description: bacterial SSU rRNA
Rfam family: Bacterial small subunit ribosomal RNA
Source: RNAcentral
GGGGAAUAUUGCGCCAUGGGCGAAAGCCUGACGCAGCGACGCCGCGUGAGGGAUGAAGGUUUUCGGAUCGUAAACCUCUGUUAGAAGGGAAGAAACCGCACCGUGCUAAUCCGCGGUUCCUUUACGGUACCUUCAAACGAAGCACCGGCUAACUCAGUGCCAGCAGCCGCGGUAAUACGGCGGGGGCAAGCGUUAAUCGGAAUUACUGGGCGUAAAGCGCACGUAGGCUGCUUUGUAAGUAAGGGGUGAAAUCCCACGGCUCAACCGUGGAACUGCCUUUGAUACUGCUUAGCUUGAAUCCGGGAGAGGGUGGCGGAAUUCCAGGUGUAGGAGUGAAAUCCGUAGAUAUCGGGAGGAACAUCAGUGGCGAAGGCGGCCACCUGGACCGGUAUUGACGCUGAGGUGCGAAAGCGUGGGGAGCAAACA